AGUGAACGCUGGCGGUAGGCCUAACACAUGCAAGUCGAACGGCAGCACCGUAAGAGCUUGCUCUUACGGGUGGCGAGUGUCGGACGGGUGAGGAAUACAUCGGAAUCUACUUUUUCGUGGGGGCUAACGUAGGGAAACUUACGCUAAUACCGCAUACGACCUACUGGUGAAAGCAGGGGAUCUUCGGACCUUGCGCGAUUGAAUGAGCCUAUGUCGGAUUAGCUAGUUGGCGGGGUAAAGGCCCACCAAGGCGACGAUCCGUAGCUGGUCUGAGAGGAUGAUCAGACACACUGGAACUGAGACACGGUCCAGACUCCUACGGGAGGAAGCAGUGGGGAAUAUUAGGCGAGGGGCGCAAGGCUGAUACAGGCAUACCGCGUGGGUGAAGAAGGCCUUAGGGUUGGAAAGCCAUUUUGGUGGGAAAGAAAAGAAGCAGGUUAAUACCCCGCUGUAAUGACGGUACCCAAAGAAUAAGCACCGGCUAACUUCGUG
Molecule: ribosomal RNA, 492 nt
Filed under: uncultured bacterium
Lineage: Bacteria
Description: partial 16S ribosomal RNA
Rfam family: Bacterial small subunit ribosomal RNA
Source: RNAcentral